Molecule: ribosomal RNA, 253 nt
Filed under: uncultured bacterium
Lineage: Bacteria
Description: partial 16S ribosomal RNA
Rfam family: Bacterial small subunit ribosomal RNA
Source: RNAcentral
UACGAAGGGGGCUAGCGUUGCUCGGAAUCACUGGGCGUAAAGCGCACGUAGGCGGACUCUUAAGUCAGGGGUGAAAUUCUGGAGCUCAACUCCAGAACUGCCUUUGAUACUGGGAGUCUUGAGUUCGGGAGAGGUGAGUGGAACUGCGAGUGUAGAGGUGAAAUUCGUAGAUAUUCGCAAGAACACCAGUGGCGAAGGCGGCUCACUGGCCCGAUACUGACGCUGAGGUGCGAAAGCGUGGGGAGCAAACAGG